UCCCAGACAACAGAGAGAUGCGCACUGAGUUAUAAGACGAGGCGGUUGUUCAGUGCGGUAAAAAAAAAAUUGGAAGGAAAGCAAUAAGCAAUAAAGAUCCUGCCGAAUAGUUUUUUUUUAAAAAGAGGAGUUGGACAUUCUGUUGAAAAGGCAUAUAAUUUCUCAUAAGGUGUCUCUGUUGUAUAGCAGAUGAAUUUUGAGCAGCCUCCUCCGUACCAGGCCCCUGGUUACCCCCAGCAGGGUUACCCCCAGCAGGGUUACCCCCAGCAAGGAUACCCUCCCCAGGGUUACCCCGUAAACAUGGAGCAACCUGGAGGAUUCCCUCCUCAAAACCCAGGCUACCCUGCUGGCCCUGGGGGACCGCCUGGACCCUACCCCGGCCAGGGACAAGCAGGCCCCUACCAGGAGGGCUACCCUGGACAGCCCCAGUUUGGAUGGCAAGGAGGACCACCCCCAGGACCCAUGUAUGGAGAGGCACCUAAAAACACAGUGUACGUGGUGGAGGAGAGAAGGAGAGAUGAUUCAGGAGACACGUGUCUGACUGCCUGUUGGACGGCUCUCUGCUGCUGCUGCUUGUGGGACAUGCUCACAUAACCUCUGACCCCUGACACUUACCCUUAUCUGCUUUGACCCUUACCCUUUAACUCCUAACCCUUAACCCAUAGUUCCUCUCAUCUGUAAUAGAAAACAAGUACUGGGAGAAAUAGAACACUAUGAGUAUCUGGGAAACCAGGCCUGGUAUUUAUAGCGGACUUUGAAAAGCCCUUUGAUAAAGUACAACCAGAAUUUAUAUGUAAAUGCCUGGACCAUUUUAAUUUGGAGAGUCUCUUAUAAGAUGGCUUAAAGUUAUGUAUAGUAACCCCAGGUGUAAAAUGGCAAAUAAUGGCUACUUCUCUGGAAGUAUUACAUUGUCAAGAGGAGUAAAACAAGGUUGUCCACUAUCGGCAUAUCUAUUUAUUAUUGCCAUCUAAAUGUCAGCUAUUCAAAUCAGAUCCAACCAUAACAUCAAGGGACUAGAAACACAGGGCUUAAAAACAAAGGUGUCAUUGUACGCUGAUCAUUCAUGUUUUCUUUUAAAUGUGCAAUUUGGAUCCCUGCACAGCCUCCUAGAGGAUGUAGAACCUUUUCUAACCUCUGGAUUACAACCAGAAUGAUGAUAAAUGCACCAUAUUACGUAUUGGAUCACUAAAAAAGACAACUUUAACAUUACCGUAUAGUUUACCAAUAAAAUGGUCUGACGAUGAUGUAGUGGACAUACUUGGUAUACAUAUCCCAAAAGAAAGAAAUGAUCUCGAUACAAUAUAUAUUUAUAGAAAGUUAGCCAAAUUAGAUACCAUUUUACCAUGGAAAGGACGACUUCUGUUUAUUUGUGGAAAAAUGGCCCUGAUUGAAUUUCUUUUUCAUAUCCCAGUUGACCUAUUUACUUCCUUAAGGCCCUGCCUACACCUAACGACUUGUUUAUUCAAUUAUAUGAGCAAAAAAGUUCCACCUUAUUUUUAAUGGCAAGCCGGAGAAAAGUCUCUAGCAAAUAAAACAAAAAAAGGUUUAAAAAAUGUUAUAAUCUUCGUAAAUGAUAUAAUAAAUAGGACUGGUGGAAUUAUGUCACACAUGCAGUUAACAACAAAGUAUGGAAAUGUCUGCUCUCUCUAAAAUUAUAACCAACUGAUGGCAGCAUUGUGGAAAGGGGAGGUAAGGAACGUGACUGUCGCCCCGGCAUUAAAGACCAAAAUUGGUUAAAGAAAAUUGUGGUAAAUAAAAAGUACAACCGUUUCUUUUAAGGACCAGAAUAUUGACAGCUGCACCAUAAAGGAUGAUAAAUAGUUGGGAGACUUUCAAUGUACUGAUUCCAUGGUACCUGGUUUAUGAACUGAUACACAAAACAACACUAGAUUCAAAACUUUGAGUUUUUCCAUUUAAAUUAUUAUCCACAAUUCUGGCAACCAACAUAAUGUCAUAUAUAUGGGAGAUACAACCAUCCCAGCUCGUCCGAUUUUGCUGUGAAGAGACAGAGACAUUAGAUCACUUGUUUUGGUACUGCCCUGAUGUAGCUUUUUUUUGGUCGGAGGUUCAGGAAUGUCAACAUUUACCUGGAGCUAUCUCUGCAAAUAGCACUGCUGGGUGAUUUGAAAAGUCAUAGUCAAUUGAUCAAUAAUGUAAUAAUACUCUUAGCACAAUUUUUAAAAUGUAAUUUACAAUCUGUAGGAACUGAGAAUAUAAAGUUUCAGAGCUUUUGUGGAACAUCCCAGCACAGUGGAAAUCUAUAUAUAGAUGGGAGGGGUUGAGUGUAGCUGAAGGCUGGGAUGAUAAUGUAAAAUAUAUUGUCCAUAAAUUGUAGGUAGUAUGUAUAGGCAGGAAGUAGAAGCCUAAGUAUCGUUGUCCAUUAGUUUACUUCAAUUAGGGGAGUUGUGGUAGGGUUAGGGGAAAAUAAGAAAGUUAUUAAAGUCCCUCAUUUUAUCCUAACCUCUAACCCCUAAGGUUUAACCCCUAACCCUGAUCUACCUGUUACACUGUCCCUCCAUCUGGCCUUACUUCCUGUUACUGGCCUUACUUCCUGUUAGUCCACCUCAAUCCUUCUCUUUCCCCUAACUAUCAGCCUUACCCCCUAACUAUCAGCCUUACCCCCUAACUAUCAGCCGUACCCCUUGCACUCCUGCUUUCCUUCCCAAACGUCCAGCCUGAACCCCUGUGCCUCCUGAACAAUGGUAGCAUUAUAUUGAUAACCUCUAUGUAUCUAUCCUUGUGCUCCUACACCUGACCUAACCCCUCUGUAGCAGUUUAGCUACAAUACCUUCCCUAAAUCUCAGGCACUGUACUGUAGAUAUUGCUUCAUGUGGAACACAAAUUCAUUCUCAAACACCACACACACAAUAUGCACUCAUAUCUCAGGCGUUCUACGGUAGAUGACACAACAUACACGAACACACACACACACACACACACACACACCAUUCUCUCUCUCUCUCUCGCUCUCGCUCUCGCUCUCGCUCUCGCUCUCGCUCUCGCUCGCUCUCGCUCUCGCUCUCUCUCUCUCUCUCUCUCUCUCUCUCAUGCACUUUAACAUCUUACCUCUGUAAGGUACUUCUCCUGCCUCCCUCCAUCCUCCCAAACAAACCUCUAGUCAUACCACCCCCUAAACCCUAUACCACCCUAACGAAUGACUCUCUACACCGUAUCUGUCAUGGCUACCUAGACCAUUGGGUGCCAGUAAGCUACAGUGGCCCUUGCCAACCCCCUGCCCUUGAUGUACCAUGCUGAAGCUUGAAUUGUCCUCCGUUAUGUUUGCACAACAGCUACUGUGGUUUCCUGUUUGCCUUAGGAUGAAUCCUAUGAGCUGGUUUCCUGUUUGCCUUAGGAUGAAUCCUAUGAGCUGGUUUCCUGUUUGUCUUAGGAUGAAUCCUAUGAGCUGGUUUCCUGUUUGUCUUAGGAUGAAUCCUAUGAGCUGGUUUCCUGUUUGUCUUAGGAUGAAUCCUAUGAGCUGGUUUCCUGUUUGUCUUAGGAUGAAUCCUAUGAGCUGGUUUCCUGUUUGUCUUAGGAUGAAUCCUAUGAGCUGGUUUCCUGUUUGUCUUAGGAUGAAUCCUAUGAGCUGGUUUCCUGUUUGUCUUAGGAUGAAUCCUAUGAGCUGGUUUCUUGUUUGUCUUAGGAUGAAUCCUAUGAGCUGGUUUCCUGUUUGUCUUAGGAUGAAUCCUAUGAGCUGGUUUCCUGUUUGUCUUAGGAUGAAUCCUAUGAGCUGGCAUCGAAUGCAUUUUGUUAAAGACAAUGACAAUGAAUAUUUGAAUGUUUGAGUACAUGUAAUAUUGUUCAAUGCUUGCAACGUUUUUUCCCUGUUUAAUUUCUAGAUCCUGGAUGAAUAUGAUUUGAUUGCUAUGUUACUUUUAAUAUUCUCAUUCUUUGAAGGAGAGAACAUGAAACAUAAAAAAGUGAAUGUUUGUUAUGUAGAUGCCUUUGCCUGACAUGAAAAUCUUGCGUAAAGAAUAAAUUAUUCCCAAAAAGA
Molecule: long non-coding RNA, 3991 nt
Organism: Oncorhynchus gorbuscha (pink salmon)
Lineage: Eukaryota; Metazoa; Chordata; Actinopteri; Salmoniformes; Salmonidae
Exons: 3
Source: RefSeq, a predicted model, not a curated record